Molecule: long non-coding RNA, 2431 nt
Organism: Scleropages formosus (Asian bonytongue)
Lineage: Eukaryota; Metazoa; Chordata; Actinopteri; Osteoglossiformes; Osteoglossidae
Source: Ensembl
CGAUGACGUCAGCGGAAGCGCUGCGUCCUCACGGCUCUUCAUCAAUAUUAAACUCCGCGCUUGAAUCCAACCCCCAGAUCUGCGCGCGUCUUCUGCUUUAACCGCUCAUCUCUCGGAGUCCACAACGCUGAGUCGAGUGGCUGUUGACGUGAAACGCUCCGCCAUCCUGCCCUGCACUCACACCGUCCACAAAGGUCUCAUUGAGGUCACAUGGAGAGCAGGCAGUGAGGAACUGGUCGCUUCUUACCUGCAGGGGAAAUCGGUACAGGUGCCCCACUGAGACGCACACUUCUGCUGUCCUCAUGAAGUCCAGCGCUCUGCUGAUCGUAUUCUGUCUCUCUUUCAUCCGUCUCACAGGGUCUCCCUCGCAGUCUUUCACUCAUGUGAUCGCAACCCCCAACGGCACGGUCACCCUGCCCUGCAACGGGACCUUCCGCAGCAAGUUGACCGCGGUCGUAUGGGAGUCGGACGGCGGAGUCCGAGUCGCUCGUUACUACCAAGGGAAACUGGAACCAGGUCCCGGGUUCGAGAACAGAGUCCAUCUGUCCAAGGAGGGGAUUGAAAGCGGAAACUUCUCCCUCACCAUCAGCCCUGUCGAGUACAUGGAUGGAGACUUUUUCAGUUACAGAUGCAUGAUCAAGACCGGGAAGGAAACAGAACUUCGGGACUUCGGGGAUGUUCGACUAGAAGUGUUAGAGCCCAGAGAGGUGUCCGCGCUGGUGGGGGACCCCGUUUCCCUCCCCUGCUACGCCGCUGUGGACGGACAGCUUCACGUCCGCUGGGAGAAGGACAGACAAGUUGUGGUGGAGGUUCAGUCUGGAACCUUCCAUCAUGGUCCCGGGUUCAAAGACAGGGUCACUCUGUCUAAUGACAGGAUUCGACAUGGUGACCUGUCCCUGUCCUUCAACACGACACGUGGGUCGGACCAGGGCACCUUCCGAUGCUUCUCCGGCGGAAAAGGGCAAAAAAACAUAAUCGUUCUCUCCGUUAAAGCCCGUGAGGACAACCUCACUGUCUUAGAGGGUGAUUCCAUCACCCUGCCGCUCCGCUCUACAGAACCAGUGAGAGUCCAGUUCUCCAGCGCUGGUGAUCAGUCGACUGGCGUGUCUGUGUGCGUGGUGGAAGGAGGUUUACCGCGGUGUGAGACACAGUACAACCACAGGGUGUCCAUCCAGAACGGGAGUCUCCAUUUGCAGCAAGCGUCACCAUCUGAUAGAGGUGUGUACAGAGUCAUGGACCGCAGGACAAACGACACCAUCAGCAUCUUCACCGUGGAUGUUAUUGAAGAUUGGACACUUGCAGGAUUUAUCGCGGGGUUUUUCCUGGGAUUUUUUCUCCGCCUGGUUGAAGACAAGAUGUUGAUCCUCCGGCCGGACCUGCGGCUGCUGCUGACGAUGGUUCUGUCGUUGAUGCCAGUAGUGCUAUUUAAUCAGGUGCAGCUAGAAGGACAGCAGCUGAAGGUUGAGCGGGGGGUCCUGCUGGGGGUGAUCAUGGGGCUGGUGAUGGGGGUGGUGCUGCUGUUUUGUGGAAAGAUGGCGUGGCGGUGGGUGCGUUCGCACGUCUCCGGGUUUCGGAGGCCGAAGGAUGACGCGCGCCUUUCGGCGCCUUCUGCGUGCGUGUGCUCCUCCCCCCCUGCUGAGAAGCUGCCGGAGAAAAGGCUUCCCCGGGAGGUGAUGGGGGGCCCGGGUGAUGAGGAGGCCUCUCGUCCCCUGAACGGCGAGGCCAAAGCCUAGAAGGCGCGACUGCGGUUACUUCAUGUGCAGAACUGGGCAAAAAAAGCUGUAAAGAGAAAAAAGCUUCCAAAAAUAAUGCUCUUAAUUAAUUAACUUCCUACAAAGCUUAGUAACCAUCCGUUGUCAGCAACCGCUUGGCGUGGCGGGUUUGGCCGGGUCCCGCUCUCUGGCGGGUCAGGGGUUCAAAUGCUGCUUGGGGUGCCUUGCGAUGGACUGGCGUCCUGUCCUGGGUGCGUCGCCUCCGGCCUUACACCCUGCGUUGCCGGCUUAGGAUCCGGUUUGCCGCGACCCUGCUCAGGACAAGCGGUCUGUGUGCGUGCGUGCGUGCGUGCGUGCGUGCGUGCGUGCGCGCGCACAUACUUUUUCUUCAACGAUGUACAAAACCCUUGCUGUAACACUGUACCUUUUUGCAAAAGAAAUGCUUGGAAAUCUAAAAUACGUAUUUUCCCAUUGACACCGACGCAGAAGACAUUAAAUAAGUGUGUAAAACAAAUAUUUCUCUUAAACAUCUAAGCGUGUAAGACUUCUGCGCAGUCCUGUAGAGCAGGAGAAACGCUGCUGUUCAACCUGUUUCACCGACACUUUAACGGUCUGUGUGUCGCAUCCGCAUUUAUACAGCCGAGUCAUUUUGUCUAUGGGUUUUUGUGAAAUAACCCGUUUAAAAUAAAUUCAACCUUUUUUCUUCUUUUACUGACUUU